RNAcentral lists this long non-coding RNA (1104 nucleotides) under Capra hircus (goat). RNAcentral describes it as "lncRNA (ENSCHIG00010019109.1)". Lineage: Eukaryota; Metazoa; Chordata; Mammalia; Artiodactyla; Bovidae. The record is from RNAcentral.
AUGUGGUACUUGCAGGUCAGACACUAUUCUGAGUUCUUCGCUGUGUUAGUUCAUUUACCCUCGCGCCCCCUGAGAGGGAGGAUCACACCCCCACCCCCUGGGGUAUUCAGUGGCAGCCACACUGAAUUCAGAGCCAGGAGGGGCUUGAGCAGUUCUGGCCUGUUAUCCACGAGCGCGAGUCUCUGCGCUCCUCUGGUUCUCUCUGUAAUACUUCCCAGUCUUCACCUGUGUCGUCAGGGCCUCAGCCUGACGCCCAGUCCUGGAAACUCUGGCUUUCUUCUUGAAGCCAGAGACCCUUACACUUCACCUAAGAAGGUGGCUGGGGUUGGCCCAGGGCCCGGUGGCAGGACAGCUAAAGCCUCUUGCACAGUCUCCCCCCACCCCCACUUUCAUGAGCCCUGGCCAGGAGGGUGACCUGCUCAGGGUUCCUUGGAGACCAAUCAGCAUGGGUGAGAUAGGCUGACCUCUGGUCCCACAGCCAGAGCCUACACCGUCCAGAGAUGAGUCCGGAGUGGUCCUCUGGCUGGCGAUUUGUGAUGCCAGGUCACAGGAGUGACCGAGUAAGAGCCAAGUUGCUGGGGACUCAGAACUGGAGGUCCUAGUUCCAACCAAUGCCACUGACGAGCUGAGUGACCCUGGGGAAAUUAGUUUAACUCUCUGGGCAUAGGUUUGCUUAUGUGUAAAAUGGAGAGAAUAAAAAUAGUGCCUGCCCAUAGGGUUGUUUGGAGCAUAAACGGCAUCAGUAGGAAUGCAUUUAACCUGUAUCAUCUUGUUUUUAUUACUUCUCUGACUUCUGUCUCUUGGUUCUGGGACUGUUCUCUGCCUGCGGAGGAGUCAGGGUUGCAUGAAGAAUACUUCACCUGAGUUUGAGGAGUUUGCAGCCACUCUCAGGGCCAGGAGAAAGUCACUGGUCUCCUCUGCAAAGAUACAAAGUUUUCAAGUGCGGGCCUGGCCAGACUUUUCCUGGCUGCUCCUGGAGAUGUUUGGAAGUGAAUGGCAGGUGUUGCGAUUGUUUUGCGAAGCACCUUGUGCAGUCCAGAAGACUCUUUACUUCCUCCAAGCCUUCCAGACCAGGGCCACGCCAGUAUGUGCAGACGGUGAUUG